UGGGGAAUAUUGCGCAAUGGGGGAAACCCUGACGCAGCAACGCCGCGUGAAGGAUGAAGGUUUUCGGAUCGUAAACUUCUUUGAUGGGGGACGAAAAAAAUGACGGUACCCCAAAAACAAGCCACGGCUAACUACGUGCCAGCAGCCGCGGUAAUACGGAGGGUGCAAGCGUUAUUCGGAAUUACUGGGCGUAAAGCGCGUGUAGGCGGUCCUGCAAGUCUGAUGUGAAAGCCCCGGGCUUAACCCGGGAAGCGCAUUGGAAACUGCAGGUCUUGAGUACUGGAGAGGAUGGGGGAAUUCCCGGUGUAGAGGUGAAAUUCGUAGAGAUCGGGAGGAAUAUCAGUGGCGAAGGCGCCCAUCUGGACGGUAACUGACGCUGAGACGCGAAAGCGUGGGGAGCAAACA
This 405-nucleotide ribosomal RNA is filed under the name uncultured prokaryote. RNAcentral's name for it is "bacterial SSU rRNA". It matches the Rfam family "Bacterial small subunit ribosomal RNA", at positions 355 to 774 of the family's 1533-position model. The record is from RNAcentral.